GGUCCGAGUUGUAAUUUGUAGAGGAUGCUUUUGGUGAGGUGCCGCCCGAGUUCCCUGGAACGGGACGCCGCAGAGGGUGAGAGCCCCGUCUGGCUGGCCGCCGAACCUAUGUAAAGCUCCUUCGACGAGUCGAGUAGUUUGGGAAUGCUGCUCAAAAUGGGAGGUAUAUGUCUUCUAAAGCUAAAUAUUGGCCAGAGACCGAUAGCGCACAAGUAGAGUGAUCGAAAGAUGAAAAGCACCUUGAAAAGAGGGUUAAAUAGUACGUGAAAUUGUUGAAAGGGAAGCGCUUGUGACCAGACUUGGGCGCGGCGGAUCAUCCGGGGUUCUCCCCGGUGCACUUCGCCGUGUCCAGGCCAGCAUCAGUUCGUCGCGGGGGAAAAAGGCUUCGGGAACGUGGCUCCUCCGGGAGUGUUAUAGCCCGUUGCAUAAUACCCUGCGGUGGACUGAGGACCGCGCUUCGGCAAGGAUGCUGGCGUAAUGGUCACCAGCGACCCGUCUUGAAACACGGACCAAGGAGUCGUCUUCGUAUGCGAGUGUUCGGGUGUCAAACCCCUACGCGUAAUGAAAGUGAACGCAGGUGAGAGCUUCGGCGCAUCAUCGACCGAUCCUGAUGUUCUCGGAUGGAUUUGAGUAAGAGCAUACGGGGCCGGACCCGAAAGAAGGUGAACUAUGCCUGUAUAGGGUGAAGCCAGAGGAAACUC
RNAcentral lists this ribosomal RNA (701 nucleotides) under Trichoderma amazonicum. RNAcentral's name for it is "partial large subunit ribosomal RNA". It matches the Rfam family "Eukaryotic large subunit ribosomal RNA", at positions 135 to 864 of the family's 3401-position model. The record is from RNAcentral. Lineage: Eukaryota; Fungi; Ascomycota; Sordariomycetes; Hypocreales; Hypocreaceae.